UACGGAGGUGGCAAGCGUUGCUCGGAAUCACUGGGCGUAAAGGGCGCGUAGGCGGGGAGGUAAGUCGGGUGUGAAAUCCCUCGGCCCAACCGAGGAACUGCGCCCGAGACUGCUUCUCUUGAGUCCCGGAGAGGAAGAUGGAAUUCCCGGUGUAGCGGUGAAAUGCGCAGAUAUCAGGAAGAACACCCGUGGCGAAGGCGGCUCUCUGGGACGGUACUGACGCUGAGACGCGAAAGCGUGGGGAGCGAACAGG
This 253-nucleotide ribosomal RNA is filed under the name uncultured bacterium. Its description in RNAcentral is "partial 16S ribosomal RNA". It matches the Rfam family "Bacterial small subunit ribosomal RNA", at positions 524 to 776 of the family's 1533-position model. The record is from RNAcentral.